RNAcentral lists this transfer RNA (76 nucleotides) under Camelus bactrianus (Bactrian camel). It matches the Rfam family "tRNA". From Rfam's summary of the family: Transfer RNA (tRNA) molecules are approximately 80 nucleotides in length. Their secondary structure includes four short double-helical elements and three loops (D, anti-codon, and T loops). The record is from Rfam by way of RNAcentral. RNAcentral also lists the same sequence under 2 other names. Lineage: Eukaryota; Metazoa; Chordata; Mammalia; Artiodactyla; Camelidae.
GAGGGUAUAGCUCAGUGGUAGAGUGCAUGUUUAGCAUGCACAGUGGAUGUCCUGGGUUCAAUCCCCAGUACCUUCU